UUAAGUUCUUUUUUUUUUUUUUUUUUUUUUUUUUUUGCCUUGUACUAGCCCAAGCAUGUCAAACUUAUGGUCCGUGGGCCACAUGCAGCCCACAACAAAUACUUUUGCAGACCAAAUAUUUUUGCAAACAAUUGAUGUACCAGUUUGUACAUCAAUUUGUCCUUUAACAGCUGGCCCUCGCUUCUUCAUUAAUCUAGUGCUAGACUAGUAUUUCUUACCCUGGCUGUGUAUCAGAAGCAGGUGAGAAGCCUAUCAUGUGGGUUCCUAAAAGACUUGAAAGUCAGAACAUUUGGUAAAUGCUCCCCCAACUUCAAUUCUAAGAAUCAUCUGUGGCCCUACCAUGAGAGACUAAUAAAACCUAGCUCAAGCGUUCAGGUGAAGGAGUUUGCCUUUCUAAUUAUUGUAUGUCACAGGAAAGGCAUAGGGUUAAGUGUUCUGCUUGGCUGCCUUAGCCAUAAGGCCAGCUUGCUUUGGUAUGUGCUCCAGCCAAAGCUGCACUCCAAUGUUUUCAGUCUUGAGCUCACCGGACUUCUCUCUUCUGAGUGGCUUCAGGGUGCAGGCUCUAGAUCCAGAUGCUUAGGUCCAGAUCCUGGGCCAGCGAGCUGCAGGUUGACCUUCAGUGAGCUCAACCUUUCUGUACCUCAGUUUCUCAAAAUGGAAUUACACUAUAACCCACCUUGUAGGACUCUGAAAAGAUUAAAUGGGGUUCUAUAUAUAAAACACUCCAAUAAUCUCUGCCACAGUGUUCAUAAUUGUCAGCCCUUUUUACAGUUUGUCACUUGAUUACUCCUGUUCCUGAUUUUUAGAAUCUUUACCUUCUUGAGAUGGGCUCUUUUGAGCUACUUUCAUUCCUGUCUGCAUUCCUUGUCAUUUUCUUUUCUCUGUUCCCUAAAUAUCAGUUGUCAAGGCCCCUUGUAACUCUUUACCUUUCCUGGGUGGUCAUUUCUACUACCUUGUCUUCCUGCACUGCCUACACGUCGACUCACAGAUCAUGUUUCUAAGCAAACCUUCCCUGUGAGUUAAUUUCCAAUUCUUCGUCUAACGUAUAGACUUGGAUAUUUCACAAGCAUUUUAAACUUAGCAAUCCAAAACAAUUCCUUACUUCUUCCGAAGCCUAAUUCUCUUAUAUUCCCUUGGUUAAUUAUAUAAUAAUCUAGAAAUUGAAAAUUAUUUUCAAUUAUUUUAUUUCCCAUGGAUUGCCAAGUUGUGAACAGGUCAGAUAUUUUAAUAGUUGCUCAUCCCUUUUCUUCAUUGAUCUCUUAAUUUGGACAAAGUGGAUUUAGCCCCCAGUGGCAUCUAUAUUUAAUCUUGUCCCUACAAUCUGUCCUACACAUUGUUGGCAGAAUAAUCUUUCAAAGAGUUUUUGCAUGUUUGUCUUCCAUUGCUAGACUGGGCUUCUUUAGAGGAAGAUAAUAUCUCUGUGUUUUGCCUCCCCCGUAACUUUGAAGAUGUCUGGCAACUUCAUAGUCUUGCAGGUUCUCCAGCCCUACAGUCACCUUAGACCUCCAUUGUCCAACACGUUAGCCAUCAGCCACAUGUAGCUAUUUAAUUUAAGCCAAAUAAAAUUACUUAGGCAUACUAGCCAUAUUUCAAAUGCUUAAUAGCGCAUGUGACUGUUGCUAUCACAUUGGACAGUGUAUUGUAGAACAUUUCCAUUAUUGCAGAAAGUUCUAUUGGACAGAGCUGUCCCAGACCCUUACUAAUAUGGACAUUUUCCUCUAUUAGUACCCCUGGAACAUUAACACUGUCCAAAGUGCUAGUCUGAGCAAAUUGGCCUUUAACAUUUGUCCUUUUAUCUUGAUCCUGCCAUUACCACUUCACUACAUCAGAUAGAACAUCUGACCAGAAACUUAGAGCUCCAAGUUAAUCCCUAAAACACUAAAUAUUCAGCAAUUUAUGUGUAAACUGUCUCUGGGACCUCAAGAGUAAAUGCACUAGUUCUAAUUGAAAUCUUGUUGCUAUGUUCUAUCAAAUGAGAUCUUUUAAUGGUGGCUAUUUAAUGCUUUAUUUUUAAAAUUAGCAGUGGAGGGAUGCUUUAUAAAAUGAAUUCAUACCCAUCUAUACAUAUUUUUUUGCAUGCAUACCUCAUGCCACAUAAUCUGCCAGGUAGUACAUAUAUAAAACAAAGCUUAUGUAAUACGACAAAAGUAACAAUCUUUCCAAAUGCAUCUACCCAGAACUACACACUUACCAUGUUUGUAUUGAUGCUUCAGGACAUCUUUCUAUACUUGUGCACAUACACACACAGGCAACUAUAUGUAAGCGGUUUUCAUAAACACAGAAAGUAUAAUAAAUGUGGGCAUAUUUUAAGAAAGUGUGUAUGGAUUUACCUGUCUUCCCUUUAGUAUUUGAUUCUAAGGAAAAUGUACUAUAAUUUAUAUAAUGUAGAGCGCUACUUAUAUCUAUGCGUAUAUUAUUUUAUACCUUUUUUUUCUGCUUAAUUUAUAGAUGUAUAAUUUCUGAGCUACUGAGUGUACAAAUUAAAAAUGUUGAACUGAAUUGUCAGACUGUCCUUCACCAAAGCUAUUCCAGUUUACAUUGCUACCACUAGUAUGUGAGAGUGUGUUUCUUCACAAGUUCAACAACAUGGAAUGUUAUCAGUCAUUAAGAUUUUUUCAGUAACAGCCAAAAGCUUAUUGUGUUAUUUUUAUUAUUAGUGAGAGUGAAAUACUUCAAUGUUAAUGGCUGUUUGUAUUUAUUGUAUAGCUACUUUAUGCCCUUUGCAUUUUUUAUUGUGGGUGUUCAUGUCUAUAAAUUUGUAGUAAUUCAUGUUAGAAAUAAUCUUUUAUUACAUGCAUUGCACUUUUUCUGUCAUUUACUUUAUUAUAAUAUUGUUUCGUGACUUUUUAUUUUUAAUCAGAUCUGUUGAUAGCCUUUAUCAUGUCCGCCUUUGAUAUCAUGUUCGAAAGAGUUUUUCCUGCCCAAUAUUAUAAAAAUACCUGUGUUUUCUUUUAUGUUUAUGACUGUUUUUUAUAUCAGUCUUUAAUGCAGUUAAAAAUUAUAUUAAGGUGUGAGGUAAGCAUUCACAAAUUUCUGCCAAGACUAUGUCUAAUACAUUUAUAAAAUAAUUCUUUUUCCUUACUGAUAUAAAAUGUAAUCUUCAUUAGAUAAUAAAUUUUUAUAUUUGAUAAUUAUAUAAACACUCUUCAGUUCCAUUUGUUUUUAUCUAUUCACUACCAUUGCUAAUUUAAUUACUAUUAUUUGAACAUUGAUUUAAAAUAUUUUAUAUGUAACAUACAUGUUUUCCUAUCACAUAUACCCUUAAUAUUCAUUUUUGUCAAAAGUUUCUGUACUCUUACAAAAAAAAUUUAGAAUUAUUCAAUGUCCUUUCAAAUAAAAAUCCUUCUGGCGUUUUUAUUGCAAUUACAUUGACUUGCACAGAUUGGUAUGCAGAGAAUUAUGGCAUCCUACACUAUUGAAUCCUCCUCUCUAAAAAGAAUGUUGCCUGACUUUUUAUUAUAUUUUUAUGUCCCUCAGAGUUUUAAAAUUAUUUUCAUUUGUUUUUAAUUCUAGGUAUCUUGAUGUAUAUUAAUGUUUUUGUAUUGUUUAUGGAUGUGCUUUUUUCAACUUUGAAAAAAAUGUUUCUAUUUGAAUAUUACUGAUACAGAAACAGUAGUUAUCAAACUUUUGAUCUCAGAAUCACUUCACACUCAAAAACUAUUGAGAACCUAAAUGAACUUUUGUUUGGGCCAGUUAUAUCUAUUGCUAUUCACCAUAUUAGAAAUUGAAACUGUAAAAAUGAUAAUUUUAAAAUAACAUUUAUAUUAAAAAAAAAUUAAUACAUUUUAAGUGAAAAAUAGCAAAAUUUUCUGCCUGAUCUUUAUUUUGGAAGUUGGUAUUUUUAAACCAGAGACCUAAGACUUGAAAGGAAAUGAAGUAGUAGUUAUAAUUGUCCCCACCCCUUUCAGUAGUUAUAAAAAUUUUGCCAUCCUCACACUUUCACAGAACACAUAACUUAAAAUUUGGACUAGCAAUCAUUAAAAAAAAAUUGAUUACUGAAGUAAUAGAGGAGAAUCAUUUUUCAAAGAAGUAAUUUAAUUUCUUGGAAAAAUAAAAACCAAAUUUAACAGUUUGGAAAAUCAGUAUGUCUUCAGUAGUCCUUGAAAUUGA
Molecule: long non-coding RNA, 4110 nt
Organism: Pipistrellus kuhlii (Kuhl's pipistrelle)
Lineage: Eukaryota; Metazoa; Chordata; Mammalia; Chiroptera; Vespertilionidae
Exons: 2
Source: RefSeq, a predicted model, not a curated record